Molecule: long non-coding RNA, 1586 nt
Organism: Vicia villosa (hairy vetch)
Lineage: Eukaryota; Viridiplantae; Streptophyta; Magnoliopsida; Fabales; Fabaceae
Exons: 2
Source: RefSeq, a predicted model, not a curated record
AUAAGUUCAAUUGAUUCCAUUAAUCUCUCAAUUGUUCAUAUUAACAUCACUUAAUCAGGCUAACAAUCACAAUUAACAUAAGCACAAAAUCAAAAGGGAAUUAGGUUUACGUGUUUGUGGCCAUUGAAAUCUCCACCGGAUCUCUCUUCCCCUCACGAUGCGAUUAAACGGCGCGAUAUCUCCCUCUCUUCUCCAGCGUGAACGGCGACGGCGCGACGUCGGAGUUGAUUUCUCCUCUGAGCGAAACUCUCCGUCUCUGCUUUCGAUCUCUCCGUCUCUGCUUUCCGACGAAUCUCUCUCGAUCUCGCUUCUCAUCUCUCUCGUCUCUCAGACCUCUCUCGUAUCUCCGCUCCGCUCUCUCUAUUUCACUCUCGAUCUCCGAUUACAUCCAAUCACCUCUCCGAUUCACUUCUUUGCGUUUGUUGUGUGUGAAGCCGAAGAACGUGAUGAUGAUUGAAGACUGUUGCGGAUUGACGAAUGUAACGAUGAAGAUUGGAGAAGUGAUGAUACAUUCGUUGCGAAGAAGGUGAUGACCUUGUUAUGGUUGAACUCAUAUCAGACACAUGAAAUUGAUGCGUCACUCUGCAGAAACUUGUUGAGGACGAUGAAAAUACGAAAAUCUUGCAGAGAGAAUCGAUAGUUUCCAGGUGAGUUUUCUUGUAUGAUUUUCUGUGUGGAUUGAAGGUUAUGGUAGAUUCAAAAGUUCUUUCGAUUCUGAGUUUUCUUUUCGAAUGAUUGUGGUGAAUGGAGGAAGGUGAUGAAGAUGUUCGGUUCAGGGAGUUUUUGAAGAUUGAAGCGUGGUUGAUUCAGAGUGAUGAAGAGGUGAGUUUGUUUCUUUCUUUUUCUGGUUAUUUUCUCUUAUUGAUUUUGUGAUGAAUGAAGAUGAUGGACAAGGUUAGCGGUGGAUUCAAGAAUAUCAUGAUGAAGAUUGAAGAUUGUUGUGAGUUAAUUUCACGAUUUCUGUUGGAGGUGAAUCGAGAAAGAACGAUGAAGGUGGAGAGAAUCGGGAGAGUUUGUUACAUUCUUUUUUGGAAUUCUGUUAUGUGGUUUUCUCCUUCCCCUCCUUAUUUUUUUGAGCUUUUCCUCUGAUGUAUCUGUGAAGUUUCUGAACCGGUUUAGUUUAUUUGUCAAUUGCAGGAUGUUGCCGAUUCGAGUUCGGUUUUUAUGCUGCUGCAAGCUUGUAUUGUGUUGAACCGGCCUCCCUCUACUGCGUUAGCUUUAAUCGGUUUAUGUUGUGAUGCGGGUUUUGUGGUGGCGCGAUGCGGUUCGGUUUCCCGGUUUAUUUGCAGGGGCGAUUUGAUUUUGAAGCUUUUGGUUUAAGCGCAAGUUUUUGGAAUAUGUGUAUGGUGCAAGGUGGAUUUAGUUGCUUGAUGGAGGGCUGUUUGGACAGAUUAUAAUAUGGAGGGCUUUGAAUUUGAAUAAAGACUUGGUGUAGUGAUAGUUUGAGUUUGGAAAUAGGAUAGGCUCAAAUGGUGUAAUGUUUAGAAUUUGGACUUUAAUAUGUUUUUUUUUGGAUAAUUCUUGUAAAGUAUGGACCUUUGAACCGUGUAUAGUUUUGUAAUGGAUAUCUUGGGCUUUUGAAUGUA